Molecule: ribosomal RNA, 253 nt
Filed under: uncultured bacterium
Lineage: Bacteria
Description: partial 16S ribosomal RNA
Rfam family: Bacterial small subunit ribosomal RNA
Source: RNAcentral
GACAGAGGUGCCAAGCGUUAGGCGGAAUCACUGGGCUUAAAGCGUGUGUAGGCGGACCGUUAAGUGCCUUGUGAAAUCCCAUGGCUCAACCAUGGAACGGCUGGGCAUACUGGCGGUCUUGAGUCACCCAGGGGUUGCCGGAACAAAUGGUGGAGCGGUGAAAUGCGUAGAUAUCAUUUGGAACGCCAAUGGCGAAAGCAGGCAACUGGGGGUGAUCUGACGCUGAGACACGAAAGCCAGGGGAGCGAACGGG